GGCGCUCUGCUCUUCCCGGUCAUGGAGGCGCCAGCCGCCCGCUUGUUUCUGCUCCUGUUGCUUGGGACUUGGGCCCCGGCGCCAGGCAGCGCCUCCUCCGAGGCACCGCCGCUGAUCAAUGAGGACGUGAAGCGCACAGUGGACCUAAGCAGCCACCUGGCUAAGGUGACGGCCGAGGUGGUCCUGGCGCACCUGGGCGGCGGCUCCACGUCCCGAGCUACCUCUUUCCUGCUGGCUUUGGAGCCUGAGCUCGAGGCCCGGCUGGCGCACCUGGGCGUGCAGGUAAAGGGAGAAGAUGAGGAAGAGAACAAUUUGGAAGUACGUGAAACCAAAAUUAAGGGUAAAAGGUAAGCUGACAAACAAUAUACCUUGUCUCUUGUUAAAGGUUAUGUCAGGGUUGGGAUCAUAUGGGAUCAUAAACUAGGAGAGUUGCUUAGGAAGUGCCUGCUUUAUUACAGGGUUUUUUUUUUUUUUUUUUUUUUUUGUAGAGAGGAGGUCUAGCUAUGUUGCCCAGGCUGGUCUUGAACUCCUGAGCUCAAGCCAUCCUUGGCCUCUCAAAGUGCUGGGAUUACAGGUGUGAACCACUGCAUCUGUCCUAGAGGAUUUUUUUUUUUUUUUUCUUGAGACAGGGUCUGUUGCCCAGGCUGCAUUACUAUGGUGCCAUGUUGACUCACUGCAACCUCCACCUCCAGGGCUCAAACCGUCCUUCUCCCUCAGCCUCCCAAAUAGGUGGGACUAGAGGUGUGUACCACCACACUCGG
Molecule: small RNA, 761 nt
Filed under: Pan troglodytes (chimpanzee)
Lineage: Eukaryota; Metazoa; Chordata; Mammalia; Primates; Hominidae
Description: retained intron
Source: RNAcentral